CCGUGCAGCCGGGGCAGUAGCGGCGCCCUGCACUCCAAAUCCGCUUUAGGGAGGGUGAUGGUGUUUCGAGGGCUUUUUACCUGUGUGGUUAGCCCUGCAUAAGCGAUGUUGAAAUUCGGGUCUUACGCAAUGCGUGCCUGUGAACCGUGUCAGGGUGGGAACACAGCAGCACUAAGCGGGAAUUCGUAUGUGCCGUGAGGGCGCCUGGGUGGAGUUGGCUGUGCAGCAAGCGCGCAUGGGUUCGGUUCGACAAACAUCGCACGG
This 264-nucleotide signal recognition particle RNA is filed under the name Lachnospiraceae bacterium. RNAcentral describes it as "signal recognition particle sRNA large type". It matches the Rfam family "Bacterial large signal recognition particle RNA". From Rfam's summary of the family: The signal recognition particle (SRP) is a universally conserved ribonucleoprotein involved in the co-translational targeting of proteins to membranes. Archaeal SRP consists of a 7S RNA and homologues of the eukaryotic SRP19 and SRP54 proteins. In most bacteria, the SRP consists of a 4.5S RNA and the Ffh protein (a homologue of the eukaryotic SRP54 protein). Lineage: Bacteria; Bacillati; Bacillota; Clostridia; Lachnospirales; Lachnospiraceae. The record is from RNAcentral.